This 1083-nucleotide long non-coding RNA is filed under the name Monodelphis domestica (gray short-tailed opossum). RNAcentral's name for it is "lncRNA (ENSMODG00000031190.2)". Lineage: Eukaryota; Metazoa; Chordata; Mammalia; Didelphimorphia; Didelphidae. The record is from RNAcentral.
CAGGAUUUGAAGCAAGUUUUAAUUCCUAAUCCCAUGCUUUUGGUUGUAAACUGUCCUUAGCCAGCUUCCAGGCACAUUCAAGUUUCCCAAAUAAAGUAGAUCAAGAGUCUAUGAGGGAAGAGUGACUGAAAAUAGAAUUCCGCCCAUUAGUCUAUCUUCUUGCCUUCUGCUUAGGUGGGUCCCAGCUAAUGUCCUAGAAAAGGUUGCUUACAAAUACUUUUUAAGUGUUUCUUUCUGCCUGUUGGCUAAUCUCCAAAGGGGCAGGCAGUAUGUACCUCAGCUGGGCUUUUUCUCUGUUUCAAAAACCAGAGCAUCCGACCUUUAGCAAACUAGAAUGAAAUAGGAGGCGUUUCCUUUUAUUUCAUACUCAAAGUAAAGUUCUCUCCCAGUUGACUUCUGAUCUUCGAAACCAAAUAGCUGCUAAGGGGGCUAAAGUUUGAAAAGGGGAAAUUUAAGCUGGGUUUUAGAGAAGAAUUCCCUGGUGGUGAGUAUUUAAGUUAUAGGGGGAAAAAAAUCUUUACAAACCAACUGGUGAAGACUUCACCAUUUACGAUACUUAGUGACCUGGUGAACAGUGGAAGAAUAUCCCCUAAAGACAAACCGUAGUGUCAGCAGCUGCGUACCCCACUUGACAAACUGGAAUAACACCAGCUGUGUUCCUUUUAUAUUCUCACUUUUAAAUGUCUUUAUCAACAUUAUCCAAAACAGUUUUCUGUUUUCUUGGCUGGAGAGAGUCUCCUUUUGGUUUGAGUCACAAAGCCAGCAACAUUCUUUCAUUCUUAAGACCUGAAGAAAAGGAUCAAGGGAAAUCACCACGUAUAAAUGCAAAGCUGAAGAGCCACAACUUCUGGAAUAGCCCAUGUGGAAAGAAUCGCCAGAAUGAAAGCUUUAAAACAAAUCAGGACGACUAUCAGUUCAUUCUUCCAGCUGUGUGAAGCCAACAAAAGGCAAUAAGAAUGAUAUUAAAAUUAUCUUUUACACUCAGACAUGUUGCCAGCAGGGGUGGGUGUCUGGCAGUUUGUAUUCUUCAGUCCUACUGUUCUCAGGAAAACAGAGUAGGAAGACCAGAUAAGCCAUCUUGGG